UGGGUAACCUGCCUCAAAGAGGGGAAUAGCCUCCCGAAAGGGAGAUUAAUACCGCAUAAUAUGUUUAAGUCGCAUGACUUUAACAUCAAAGGAUUUUUCUUUUAAGAAAUUCCACUUUGAAAUGGACCCGCGGCGCAUUAGCUAGUUGGUGAGGUAACGGCUCACCAAGGCAACGAUGCGUAGCCGACCUGAGAGGGUGAUCGGCCACAUUGGAACUGAGACACAGUCCAGACUCCGUAGGAGG
This 244-nucleotide ribosomal RNA is filed under the name uncultured bacterium. RNAcentral describes it as "partial 16S ribosomal RNA". It matches the Rfam family "Bacterial small subunit ribosomal RNA", at positions 118 to 348 of the family's 1533-position model. The record is from RNAcentral.